RNAcentral lists this non-coding RNA (22 nucleotides) under Rattus norvegicus (Norway rat). Lineage: Eukaryota; Metazoa; Chordata; Mammalia; Rodentia; Muridae. The record is from RNAcentral.
UGUCAAUCUUUUCAGACAUGCU